This 648-nucleotide long non-coding RNA is filed under the name Brassica rapa (field mustard). RNAcentral's name for it is "long non-coding RNA (BRAP_LNC006127)". Lineage: Eukaryota; Viridiplantae; Streptophyta; Magnoliopsida; Brassicales; Brassicaceae. The record is from RNAcentral.
GGGUGGCCUCUCAAAUCUCCCAAGGGCCAAAAGCUUAGGCAGCAUUAGGAAUAUCACUAAACAUGCUAACCAUGUAGUAAAUUACGGUAAUGCCCUCGAUUAGUUUUAGUGGUUGGAAUGUAAUAACAUCGACAACUAAGCCGUGUUAUGUUUUCACGUCGUCUAACGAGGAUUGGGUUGAUUGGAUCCAAAUCAGAUAAACACUUCCUUUUUUCUUCUUCUUUUGCUGCUUUUUUCCUGUUGAUAUCUUCGCCUUUUUAUUUUAAUAUAAAACAAUUUAUUUUACAGCGACCUUCCACUCGACAGGGGCCAAGCGCAUAGGUGUGACGAGACGUGUAAAUCAGAGCUGUGAGUUCAGACAUUUGUGUUCGAAAAAUAUCUAAACUUUUGUAAAGGAGGGCACGUGGAAGAUGAGUGGGAUCUACAUGGAUGUCUGUAAAUAAGCGAGUAAGAAUUCGACAUGUCAUCAGACAUUGUCUUAGAGAGUGUGGGACCCGAAGCGACUUUAUCUUGGUUCCUUGGUUCAGAAUGUUUCCUGAAUGGAUAAGUUUUUCGGGGGAGAGAUGCUAUUUUAUCAUUACUGCUAUUCCAUUUACGUCGGUACAAUCUAACCAAUGAUCUAUCGACACGUUUUGGGAAGACAACACC